Mus caroli (Ryukyu mouse) is the source of this 164-nucleotide small nuclear RNA. RefSeq annotates it as U1 spliceosomal RNA. Lineage: Eukaryota; Metazoa; Chordata; Mammalia; Rodentia; Muridae. The record is from RefSeq and is a predicted model, not a curated record.
AUACUUACCUGGCUGAGGAGNUACCAUGAUCACAAAGGUGGUUUUCCCAGGGCGAGNCUUAUCCAUUACACUCCGGAUGUGCUGACUCCCGCGAUUUCCCCAAAUGUGGGAAACUCGGCUGCAUAAUUUGUGGUAGUGGGGGACUGUGUUCGUGCUCUGCCCUG